Molecule: ribosomal RNA, 242 nt
Filed under: uncultured bacterium
Lineage: Bacteria
Description: partial 16S ribosomal RNA
Rfam family: Bacterial small subunit ribosomal RNA
Source: RNAcentral
CAAGCGUUAUCCGGAAUUACUGGGCGUAAAGCGUGCGCAGGCGGUGAUGUAAGACAGAUGUGAAAUCCCCGGGCUCAACCUGGGAACUGCAUUUGUGACUGCAUCGCUGGAGUGCGGCAGAGGGGGAUGGAAUUCCGCGUGUAGCAGUGAAAUGCGUAGAUAUGCGGAGGAACACCGAUGGCGAAGGCAAUCCCCUGGGCCUGCACUGACGCUCAUGCACGAAAGCGUGGGGAGCAAACAGG